RNAcentral lists this ribosomal RNA (244 nucleotides) under uncultured bacterium. Its description in RNAcentral is "partial 16S ribosomal RNA". It matches the Rfam family "Bacterial small subunit ribosomal RNA", at positions 333 to 574 of the family's 1533-position model. The record is from RNAcentral.
UCCUACCUACGGGGGGCAGCAGUGAGGAAUAUUGGUCAAUGGGCGAGAGCCUGAACCAGCCAAGUCGCGUGAGUGAAGACGGUCCUAUGGAUUGUAAACCUCUUUUGCCGGGGAGCAAAAAGCGGUACGUGUACCGCAUCGAGAGUACCCGGAGCAAAAGCAUCGGCUAACUCCGUGCCAGCAGCCGCGGUAAUACGGAGGUUGCGCGCGUUAUCCGGAUUUAUUGGGUUUAAAGGGUGCGCAG